This 73-nucleotide ribosomal RNA is filed under the name Lachnospiraceae bacterium. RNAcentral's name for it is "partial 23S ribosomal RNA". It matches the Rfam family "Bacterial large subunit ribosomal RNA", at positions 2852 to 2925 of the family's 2925-position model. Lineage: Bacteria; Bacillati; Bacillota; Clostridia; Lachnospirales; Lachnospiraceae. The record is from RNAcentral.
GUUGAUAGGUGGAAGGUGGAAGCGUAGUAAUACGUGCAGCUGAUCCAUACUAAUAGGUCGAGGGCUUAACCAA